Molecule: long non-coding RNA, 1251 nt
Filed under: Homo sapiens (human)
Lineage: Eukaryota; Metazoa; Chordata; Mammalia; Primates; Hominidae
Description: HSALNT0252404
Source: RNAcentral
UAAAACCCGACUUUACUCACCCUUUAAACCAUCUACGAGCCGAAAUUUUCGUGUCUGUGGGACAGACAAGCACCCCGUCUUUAGCUGAGCUAAGGAAAAGUUCUGCAACACCAACAUCUUGAUUUUAUCUCCUAUGAAAUCCACAUUGGUCUUCUGACCUCCAGAAAGCUAUGGUGCAGUAUGAUGACCACCAUCCCAGUCUGCCAAGGAAUGAGUAACUUCCUGCAAUUUAGGACUUUCGGCCCUAAAACCAGUACAGUCCUGGACACACUAAGAUUGUUGGUCACCCUAGAAGAAUGGAGAUCUGGCGGCUACCACUCACAUAUACUCGUAGAACAUUGAUUGCAAGGUAACUUACUGGCUGAAGCAGGUGAUGCAUUGCUUCGGUGGGGCUGAUGUCGAAAACCUUCAGCUUCCCAAGACAACACUGAUCAGGCCUCCAGGAGCAUUUCUCCUGCUCAGUGUCACAGUGCCACUGCAGAGCGCAAUUCCUGGGGCACGUCGGACAUUCAGUAAAUACGUUUAUUGAAUGAAUAAAACAUAACACAGAAACAGAGCGACCUCAGGGCAAGGGACCACGAGAAAUGAAGACAUUCCCUAGGUAUCUGAGAGCUGGCAAUCAAAAGCUGAUGGAGGAUGCUUCAGUAUUUCAACUAUAUGCAAGAACUGAUCAAGACGCCAUAAAGUGCAACUUGGAGCAACUGCAGACCAUGAAAUCGAAUAUUUUCUACAAAUAACAAUAAAGAAAUGAAAUAUAGCAUGCGGAAGGGUGUAGGAACAUAAAACUGCAUGGACAAAGAAGAGAAUCCGUGGAUCACGCAGAAACAAUAUAAGAGACAAAAGUGGAACUUCUGCAGUCCCAGCUACUCAGAAGGCUGACGCAGGAGGAUCGCUUGAGCCCAGGAGUUUGAGCCUGCAGCGAGCUAUGUUCAUACCACUGCACCCCAGCCUGAGUGACAGAGUAAAACCCUGUCUCUAAAAAAGAAAAAAAAAAGUAGAACCCAUAGGAAGCAGGUCAAAGGAAUAAAGGAAUUCCCAUGUUAUUAUUUGUUGUUGUUGUUAAAAACAUAUUGAGUGAAUGAAAGCAGACACACAUAACCAUAUACUGAUUGAUUCUAUUUAUAUGAAGUUCAUAAAUCAACAAAGCAAAUCUAUAGUUAUAGAACUGAGAAAGGGUUUAGGUAUGGGAAGUGGGAGGAAGUGGCAGGAAAAGGGCAUAAGACAACUUAUAUGGUGAUAAAUACUCUCCCG